GACAGAGGUGCCAAGCGUUAGGCGGAAUCACUGGGCUUAAAGCGUGUGUAGGCGGAAUGGUAAGUACCUUGUGAAAUCCCACGGCUCAACCGUGGAACUGCUUGGUAUACUGCUUUUCUUGAGCCACUUAGGGGCUGUCGGAACAAACGGUGGAGCGGUGAAAUGCGUAGAGAUCGGAAAGAACACCAACGGCGAAAGCACUCUGCUGGGCCGACACUGACACUGAGAGACGAAAGCUAGGGGAGCGAAUGGG
RNAcentral lists this ribosomal RNA (253 nucleotides) under uncultured bacterium. RNAcentral describes it as "partial 16S ribosomal RNA". It matches the Rfam family "Bacterial small subunit ribosomal RNA", at positions 524 to 776 of the family's 1533-position model. The record is from RNAcentral.